This 595-nucleotide ribosomal RNA is filed under the name uncultured bacterium. RNAcentral describes it as "bacterial SSU rRNA". It matches the Rfam family "Bacterial small subunit ribosomal RNA", at positions 338 to 948 of the family's 1533-position model. The record is from RNAcentral.
CCUACGGGAGCAGCAGUGGGGAAUUUUCCGCAAUGGGCGAAAGCCUGACGGAGCAACGCCGCGUGAGGGAUGAAGGCCUCUGGGCUGUAAACCUCUUUUAUCAAGGAAGAAGAUCUGACGGUACUUGAUGAAUAAGCCACGGCUAAUUCCGUGCCAGCAGCCGCGGUAAUACGGGAGUGGCAAGCGUUAUCCGGAAUUAUUGGGCGUAAAGCGUCCGCAGGCGGUCUUGUAAGUCUGUCGUUAAAGCGUGGAGCUCAACUCCAUUUCGGCGGUGGAAACUACAAGACUAGAGUGUGGUAGGGGCAGAGGGAAUUCCCGGUGUAGCGGUGAAAUGCGUAGAUAUCGGGAAGAACACCAGUGGCGAAGGCGCUCUGCUGGGCCAUAACUGACGCUCAUGGACGAAAGCUAGGGGAGCGAAAGGGAUUAGAUACCCCUGUAGUCCUAGCCGUAAACGAUGAACACUAGGUGUCGGGGGAAUCGACCCCCUCGGUGUCGUAGCUAACGCGUUAAGUGUUCCGCCUGGGGAGUACGCACGCGAGUGUGAACUACAAGAGUAGUAGCGCGNGAGCGCGACGACGACGACGACGGAGGAGAG